This 602-nucleotide ribosomal RNA is filed under the name uncultured Enterococcus sp. Its description in RNAcentral is "bacterial LSU rRNA". It matches the Rfam family "Bacterial large subunit ribosomal RNA", at positions 243 to 849 of the family's 2925-position model. The record is from RNAcentral. Lineage: Bacteria; Bacillati; Bacillota; Bacilli; Lactobacillales; Enterococcaceae.
GUAGCGGCGAGCGAAACGGGAAGAGCCCAAACCAACAAGCUUGCUUGUUGGGGUUGUAGGACUCCGAUAUGGUAGUCUGUUAGUAUAGUUGAAGGAUUUGGAAAAUUCCGCUAAAGAGGGUGAAAGCCCCGUAGACGAAAUGCUGACAACACCUAGGAGGAUCCUGAGUACGGCGGAACACGAGAAAUUCCGUCGGAAUCCGCGGGGACCAUCCCGCAAGGCUAAAUACUCCCUAGUGACCGAUAGUGAACCAGUACCGUGAGGGAAAGGUGAAAAGCACCCCGGAAGGGGAGUGAAAUAGAUCCUGAAACCGUGUGCCUACAACAAGUCAAAGCUCGUUAAUGAGUGAUGGCGUGCCUUUUGUAGAAUGAACCGGCGAGUUACGAUUGCAUGCGAGGUUAAGUCGAAGAGACGGAGCCGCAGCGAAAGCGAGUCUGAAUAGGGCGAAUGAGUAUGCAGUCGUAGACCCGAAACCAAGUGACCUACCCAUGUCCAGGUUGAAGGUGCGGUAAUACGCACUGGAGGACCGAACCCACGCACGUUGAAAAGUGCGGGGAUGAGGUGUGGGUAGCGGAGAAAUUCCAAUCGAACUUGGAGAUAGC